AGAGUUUGAUCAUGGCUCAGGACGAACGCUGGCGGUAUGCUUAACACAUGCAAGUCGAACGAGACAAAAGAGAAGUGCUUGCACGGAUCUUUUAGAAAGUGGCGAACGGGUGAGUAACGCGUGGGUAACCUACCCUAUGGAAAGGAAUAGCCUCGGGAAACUGGGAGUAAUGCCUUAUAAGAUAUAUUUGUCGCAUGGCAGAUGUAUUAAACGCUCCGGUGCCAUAGGAUGGACCCGCGUCCCAUUAGCUAGUUGGUGAGAUAACAGCUCACCAAGGCGACGAUGGGUAACCGGUCUGAGAGGGCGAACGGUCACACUGGAACUGAGACACGGUCCAGACUCCUACGGGAGGCAGCAGUGGGGAAUAUUGCGCAAUGGGGGAAACCCUGACGCAGCAAUACCGCGUGAGUGAAGAAGGUUUUCGGAUCGUAAAGCUCUGUUAUUGGGGAAGAAAAAAAGACGGUACCCAAGAAGAAAGUCCCGGCUAACUACGUGCCAGCAGCCGCGGUAAUACGUAGGGGACAAGCGUUGUCCGGAUUUACUGGGCGUAAAGGGCACGCAGGCGGUUUUUUAAGUCAGAUGUGAAAGGUACCGGCUCAACCGGUGACAUGCAUUUGAAACUGAAAGACUUGAGUAUUGGAGAGGCAAGUGGAAUUCCUAGUGUAGCGGUGAAAUGCGUAGAUAUUAGAGGAACACCGGUGGCGAAAGCGGCUUGCUGGACAAUACUGACGCUGAGUGCGAAAGCGUGGGGAGCAACAGAUUAGAUACCCUGUAGUCCACGCCGUAAACGAUGAGUGCUAGUUGUUGGGGAGACUCAGUGCCGCAGCC
Molecule: ribosomal RNA, 828 nt
Filed under: uncultured bacterium
Lineage: Bacteria
Description: bacterial SSU rRNA
Rfam family: Bacterial small subunit ribosomal RNA
Source: RNAcentral